CCUACGGGUGGCAGCAGUGAGGAAUAUUGGUCAAUGGGCGGGAGCCUGAACCAGCCAAGUCGCGUGAGGGAAGACGGUCCUAUGGAUUGUAAACCUCUUUAGUCGGGGAGCAAUGCCGGGCACGUGUGCCCGGCUGGAGAGUCCCCGCAGACUAAGCACCGGCUAACUCCGUGCCAGCAGCCGCGGUAAUACGGAGGAUGCGAGCGUUAUCCGGAUUUAUUGGGUUUAACGGGUGCGUAGGCGGAUUUUUAAGUCAGCGGUAAAACGUCGGGGCUCAACCCGGGCCGGCCGUUGAAACUGGCGGGCUUGAGUGGGAGAGAAGUAUGCGGAAUGCGUGGUGUAGCGGUGAAAUGCAUAGAUAUCGCGCAGAACUCCGAUUGCGAAGGCAGCAUACCGGCGCCCGACUGACGCUGAGGCACGAAAGCGUGGGGAUCGAACAGGAUUAGAUACCCUGGUAGUC
This 460-nucleotide ribosomal RNA is filed under the name uncultured bacterium. RNAcentral describes it as "partial 16S ribosomal RNA". It matches the Rfam family "Bacterial small subunit ribosomal RNA", at positions 338 to 795 of the family's 1533-position model. The record is from RNAcentral.